RNAcentral lists this ribosomal RNA (393 nucleotides) under uncultured bacterium. RNAcentral describes it as "partial 16S ribosomal RNA". It matches the Rfam family "Bacterial small subunit ribosomal RNA", at positions 523 to 918 of the family's 1533-position model. The record is from RNAcentral.
CUACGUAUGGAGCAAGCGUUAUCCGGAUUUACUGGGUGUAAAGGGAGUGUAGGCGGCUUUGCAAGUCAGAUGUGAAAGCCCGGGGCUCAACCCCGGGACUGCAUUUGAAACUGUGAAGCUGGAGUGUCGGAGAGGUAAGUGGAAUUCCUAGUGUAGCGGUGAAAUGCGUAGAUAUUGGGAGGAACACCAGUGGCGAAGGCGACUUUCUGGACUACAACUGACGCUGAGGCACGAAAGCGUGGGGAGCAAACAGGAUUAGAUACCCUGGUAGUCCACGCUGUAAACGAUGAGUACUAGGUGUCGGCUGUCAAAGGUCGGUGCCGGCGUUAACACAUUAAGUACUCCGCCUGGGGAGUACGCUCGCAAGAGUGAAACUCAAAUGAAUUGACGGGG